RNAcentral lists this ribosomal RNA (142 nucleotides) under Micrococcus luteus. RNAcentral's name for it is "partial 23S ribosomal RNA". It matches the Rfam family "Bacterial large subunit ribosomal RNA", at positions 1 to 134 of the family's 2925-position model. Lineage: Bacteria; Bacillati; Actinomycetota; Actinomycetes; Micrococcales; Micrococcaceae. The record is from RNAcentral.
AUUGUGUGUGAAAGUUUCUAAGGGCGCAUGGUGGAUGCCUUGGCAACAGGAGCCGAAGAAGGACGUGGGAAUCUGCGAUAAGCCUGGUGGAGUCGAUAACCGGACGUUGAGACCAGGAUUUCCGAAUGGGGAAACCCCGCAC